This 254-nucleotide ribosomal RNA is filed under the name uncultured bacterium. RNAcentral's name for it is "partial 16S ribosomal RNA". It matches the Rfam family "Bacterial small subunit ribosomal RNA", at positions 524 to 776 of the family's 1533-position model. The record is from RNAcentral.
UACGGGGGGGGCGAGCGUUGUUCGGAAUCACUGGGCGUAAAGGGCGCGUAGGCGGCCCGCACAAGUCUGCGGUGAAAACCCCCGGCUUAACCGGGGGCCGGCCGUGGAAACUGUCGGGCUAGAGGCCGGGAGAGGGCAGCGGAAUUCCCGGUGUAGCGGUGAAAUGCGCAGAUAUCAGGAAGAACACCAAUGGCGAAAGCAGCUUUCUGGGACGGUACUGACGCUGAGACGCGAAAGCGUGGGGAGCAAACAGG